RNAcentral lists this ribosomal RNA (253 nucleotides) under uncultured bacterium. Its description in RNAcentral is "partial 16S ribosomal RNA". It matches the Rfam family "Bacterial small subunit ribosomal RNA", at positions 524 to 776 of the family's 1533-position model. The record is from RNAcentral.
UACGAAGGGUGCAAGCGUUAAUUGGAAUUACUGGGCGUAAAGGGCGCGCAGGCGGUCUUGUAAGUCAGGCGUGAAAGCCCCGGGCUUAACCUGGGAAUUGCGCUUGAUACUCUGAGACUGGAGUACGGGAGAGGAGAGUGGAAUUCCCAGUGUAGAGGUGAAAUUCGUAGAUAUUGGGAAGAACACCAGUGGCGAAGGCGGCUCUCUGGACCGUAACUGACGCUGAGGCGCGAAAGCGUGGGGAGCAAACAGG